GCGACUGUCUGUUUUACACCAAUGAUAAGGAACACAUGCGAGUCACGCCCGCCCACUUUACCACGGAGGAGGGGGAUGACGAGGAGGAGGGGGACAGCGUGGACAGCUGACUGUAGGUCAAGUCGGGCAAACAACAAGGAACUGGACAAGAACACAGGAGCCAGGACCAAGUGCUGAUUCCCAGUCAUUUGAUGACGAAAUGAGAGAGGAGCUGGCUGCAGCCCGGGUGCUGCACGAUCAAAGGCCUUCGAAGGGACAAAGUCGGUCUUGGUGGUGCUAAAGCUAAGCCCAGCGUCUGCCAAAGAGAUUAAACACAUUUCAUAUCUGCCUGUACCUCCUUAUAUACACACGCACAGGAGCGAUCCAUCACCUGGCCCACUCAGUAUGUUGCUUGGCAGCUGGAUGGCUGGUCUGGCCUGCUCUCCGUCCUUUUUGCCAUAGUUCUCUUUUGCUGUGGUUGUGUAGUACAGGCCUGACAAAGCUGGUGGGCUGAACUCUACAUGGCUUUUGGACAUCAGCUCAGGCCCAGGCACAUACACUGGACGCUCUGUGUGGUUCAGCUACAAAGAGUUACAGUCAUGCAUGGUCAAAAAAUGACUUUCAUAAUUUACUGCCAUACCAACUCAAAAUCAACUCCACAGUCUAUUGUGAAAUGUGCGCAAAGGUCAUACAUUUACCUUUAAGUGAAGAAUGUUCAGUUUACAAUGUAUAUGACAUUAUUUACAAGUAAAGUUAUAAUUACAAAACAACAACAACUAAGUAGAGUCUGUUAUCUCACAUCAGAGAAGGAGAUUCUGUUCGUUGUGACUGACAUUCUUUCUCUGUUGCAACUCGUAUCAGUGUCCCCCUUGGGCAUGGAACUGAAAUUUUAGUUUCUCCUUGUCGUCAUAACCGGACUGCCUGAGAAAAUAAAAGGAGGUAUGUUAAUCUAUAAUACUGUGGCAUAUUGGUCUGACUGGUUCAGGAUAUAAGUAAGAAAAAGGUAAGUCAUGAUACACAGACUGUGUAUUGUACAGUAACACGCGGAUAUCAAGGUCAUCCAGGAGUUUUACUAAGAGAGUGUUUCAACACGGCUGAGAUCCCAUGUCAAAGUUGUGUCCCAACUGUGAUAUCUAAAUACUUAAAAUACUUGUCAAGUGUAAAAGAUCAUAAAAAAAAAUGUUUUAGAAAAGUAAAGUUAACACUAAACAGUAUCAGCGCAAUACAGUUUUCUCAAAUAUAUAGAGUGCAGAAGAAAUAUGAGGUCAUUCAUGUUUAUGUUUUUACUUUGCCCAUUUGGCAGCUAAAUAAUUAAACUGAAAAAAAAUAGAAUUUUAAAAGUGUCACUGUGGGAAAUUUAGCAUAAAAUCUGGACUUUUAGUGCAGGAAACACUCACCCAGCUUGUGAUAACAAAAGGCUUCUUUGGAAGUAGAUGACCAUGAGUCCUCAGAGAAAUUUCCAAGGUUAAGCUUUAAAUGCUCUUUGAUCACAUGUGGACUGUAGCAACAACACAGAUAUUGCUUUUAUUGCAUUUGCAAGGGGGAUAAAUUCAACAGCAGAUUUUUAGACCAUUUUACAAUUUUGGUUUUUGAGGCCUCAGAGUCAAUAAAAUGUCAACCGAUAAAGAUUCACACCCAGAGAUCUCAUUGAUUGACUUCUUUUACUUGACAUAUCUGUGUAAACUGACUCACGAGGCGGGAGCUUUACAGUGAAGCAGAAAAGCUGCAGACCCGCAGACUGUGGGCCGGCUGAAUGACGCAGUGUGGGUUGUUUCUCUCUCUACAAUCUUCACAGGGUCACCCAUAAU
Molecule: long non-coding RNA, 1787 nt
Organism: Scophthalmus maximus (turbot)
Lineage: Eukaryota; Metazoa; Chordata; Actinopteri; Pleuronectiformes; Scophthalmidae
Exons: 3
Source: RefSeq, a predicted model, not a curated record